This 763-nucleotide ribosomal RNA is filed under the name uncultured archaeon. Its description in RNAcentral is "bacterial SSU rRNA". It matches the Rfam family "Archaeal small subunit ribosomal RNA", at positions 95 to 859 of the family's 1478-position model. The record is from RNAcentral.
AACACGUGGAUAACCUAUCCUCAGGUCGGGGAUAAACCCGGGAAACUGGGUAUAAUACCCGCUAGAUCUCGAAGGCUGGAAUGCAUCGAGAUCGAAAGCUCCGGCGCCCGAGGAUGGAUCUGCGGCCUAUCAGGUAGUAGUGGGUGUAGCGUACCUACUAGCCUACGACGGGUACGGGUUGUGAGAGCAAGAGCCCGGAGAUGGAUUCUGAGACACGAAUCCAGGCCCUACGGGGUGCAGCAGGCGCGAAAACUUUACAAUGCCGGCAACGGCGAUAAGGGGACCUCGAGUGCCAGGUUACAAAUCUGGCUGUCGAGAUGCCUAAAAAGCAUUUCAUAGCAAGGGCCGGGCAAGACCGGUGCCAGCCGCCGCGGUAACACCGGCGGCUCGAGUGGUAACCGUUAUUAUUGGGUCUAAAGGGUCUGUAGCCGGCCGGAUAAGUCUCUUGGGAAAUCUGGCAGCUUAACUGUCAGGCUUUCAGGAGAUACUGUUCGGCUCGAGGCCGGGAGAGGUGAGAGGUACUUCAGGGGUAGGGGUGAAAUCUUGUAAUCCUUGAAGGACCACCAGUGGCGAAGGCGUCUCACCAGAACGGACCUGACGGCAAGGGACGAAAGCUAGGGGCACGAACCGGAUUAGAUACCCGGGUAGUCCUAGCCGUAAACGAUACUCGCUAGGUGUCGGCCACGGUGCGACCGUUGUCGGUGCCGUAGGGAAGCCGUGAAGCGAGCCACCUGGGAAGUACGGCCGCAAGGCUGAAACUUAA